CACCCGGGAACCCCAAAAACUUCCCCGGGGACCCCAAAUUCCUCCUGACCCCCCCCAGGUGAUCUCAGCACCCCGGCACAGCUGGGCAAAGCUGUGACGUCACUCGCCAUCGCGGGGUCCCCGCUCGCCCCCGAGCCCCGGGACCCCCAAAUUGGGGGCGGCUCCAGCCCCGAGAGCGGCUCCGACAGCGCCGCCCCCCGCGGGGCGCCCCCAGGGCCCCUCUCCGAUGGCCCCGCCCAGUCCAGCGAGUCCGAGGAGGGUCUCUGACGCCGCCGCUCCCGAUGGAUUCUCCCGCGGGACCUUCCACGAGAGUCCCCAAAUGUCCCUUGAUGUCCCCAAGUGUCCCCCCGUGUCCCCAAAUGUCCCCAGUCUGUCUCCCCCGAUGUCCCCAAGUGUCCCCGGGCUGGGGGGCCCUGGGGGUGGCCGGACCCCCCCGUGUGUCCCGGGGGGGCCCCAACCCCAAAUAAAAACCUGCAGAGCCACCGGAGGGACACUGGGGGGAUUGGGGGGGACAUUGGGGGGACAUUGGGGACAUUGGGGACAUUGGGGACACUGGGGACA
Molecule: long non-coding RNA, 561 nt
Filed under: Lonchura striata (white-rumped munia)
Lineage: Eukaryota; Metazoa; Chordata; Aves; Passeriformes; Estrildidae
Description: domestica (Bengalese finch) lncRNA (ENSLSDG00000015761.1)
Source: RNAcentral